Molecule: long non-coding RNA, 1600 nt
Organism: Equus caballus (horse)
Lineage: Eukaryota; Metazoa; Chordata; Mammalia; Perissodactyla; Equidae
Source: Ensembl
CACAAGGGGCGUGGCUGGUGGUACAGGGGACGUCGCUGUGGAUGACGCAGGAGGAAUGCCUGUGGAAAGAAUCUGAAAAUUUGCUGGAAAAUGGAGCAAAUGACUUGAUCUUUUGUUUUGUGUGUGGCAGAGUGCAGGUGUUUCUCCGGCUUCUCCCCUUGAUCAUAAUUGCAAGCUGGCAGCGUGAGACAGAGAGAAGGAGAAAGAAACACAAACGCAUUUAGUGAAGCUGGGAGCUCUCUUCAGUCCCACACAUGAAGAGAAGACUGAAAACUUCUUUAGUGGAAUGCAUAGAACGAGCCUUAAAUGCCUGCUGAAGACGGGUUCAUCCUGCAGAACGUGGAAUUGCUCAGGGCUUGAAGGCCUUGAAGACAGGAGAAGGGUGCAGACAGGAAAACGGUGGGAAUUGGUGAAAGUCUGUGUGAAAACUGCAGGGCCCCAGGCCUCCACCCGCACCGGGGGAGCCACACACCCGCCCUUUUGCCGUGGGCUCUUUUCCGAAAGGCCGGAGUUGUUUCCCAAGCCUGGCUUGGCCUCGAGACUCGCUUUAACCGAUAGAAUGUUGUAGAAAUGACGUGGCACCAACUCUGAGCCCAGGACACGAGGCCUCCUCUGGCCUCCACUCACUCUCUGGGAACCCCACUGGCCUCCAUGUGAACCAGCCCCUGGAUGAGGGGGACAGAGGGCCCUUCCUGCCCCGUCACAGAACAAAGCAUCCAGCCACCUGCAGCUGACCACAGGUCAUGAAUGAGCUGGACAAGCCGCCCAGAAGAGCCUGUCCUUCAUCGCUGACCCACAGGAUCUUAAGCUAAAUAAAUGGUUGUGUUUCUUUAAAACCACUAUGUUUUGGGGUGGGGUUUUUUUUCAUGCAAAAAAGUUGACAGAUUCACCUUCGUGGGAAACUAGAAGUUUAUUCUCUGGAGAAAUUGAACCAGAAAGCCUCUUGACUCAGGGUCGCCAGGUAAGGCAGUGGGUAGGGGCGAGGUUUGGACCUGAGAACGCGGAGACUGAUGAGGGGCGCAUGCCUCUACCUGGUUCUUGCCCAUGGCCCGGAUCCAGGGCCCCAGCGUCAGGGCAUUGUCUCCCAGGAAGGAGACCAGAGCAGCCUCUCUGCAGGAGCCCAGGGAGCCCAGAGGACCCUAAACAGAGACAUGAUGUGGGAGGACCGCGUCAACCUGCGCCCAGUGGGCUACUGUGUCACCAGACCCGAGGGGACCUUCCAGCGACAGCAAGAAAAGUCACAGAUGUUAGAAAGCCCAGCUUCCAGCCCGGUCACACCGCCCUCCACCACCUCCAUGCAGAAAUGUCAGGCAACCUUCAGGUGCGUUGCUCCCAAAUACUAAAGAACUUCCAAGUGCAGGAGAAGAAAAAUCCUUCCUUUACCCUCUUAGGCUCAGUAACUGAGGCUUUUAAGUCAAACUGAUAAAAGACAGAUUAAGAAGAGAAAAAAACAGAGUUUAUCUAGGCACGCAAUGUGCAGACACAUGGGAGAACCCAGUGAUGAGUGACUCAAAGGGGUGGUUAGAAUUUAGGGCUUUUAUACCAUCUUAACAAAGGGUGAUAAAUCAUGGAGAGGUGACAAGACAAAGGAGAAGGCGUG